GAUGAACGCUAGCGGCAGGCCUAACACAUGCAAGUCGAGGGAGAGGUUACCUUCGGGUAACCAAAACCGGCGCACGGGUGCGUAACGCGUAUACAAUCUGCCUUUCACAUAGGGAUAGCCCGAAGAAAUUUGGAUUAAUACCUAAUGGUAUAUAAGAGCGGCAUCGUUUUUAUAUUAAAGCUACGGUGGUGAAAGAUGAGUAUGCGUUCUAUUAGCUAGUUGGAGAGGUAACGGCUCCCCAAGGCGACGAUAGAUAGGGGUUCUGAGAGGGAUGUCCCCCACACUGGUACUGAGAUACGGACCAGACUCCUACGGGAGGCAGCAGUGAGGAAGAUUGGACAAUGGUCGGAAGACUGAUCCAGCCAUGCCGCGUGCAGGAUGAAGGUCCUAUGGAUUGUAAACUGCUUUUGUAAGGGAAGAAUAAGGAGUACGUGUACUUUGAUGACGGUACCUUACGAAUAAGCAUCGGCUAACUCCGUG
Molecule: ribosomal RNA, 480 nt
Filed under: uncultured bacterium
Lineage: Bacteria
Description: partial 16S ribosomal RNA
Rfam family: Bacterial small subunit ribosomal RNA
Source: RNAcentral